CGAAAUUCAAAAUAUCUGUGGAAAAGCUGGGCGGCCUCACGGCUGGGCCAGCUCUCCCAGACACACACCCUUGUGAACCAUUCACGUAUUUUGGUGACCCCACGCGCUUUGGCUUUGCCCAGGGCCGCGUGCAGCGAAAUGGAGGCCGUGGUCUCCGUUUCUCUCUGGGUCGCCAACCUUGACCAAACACCUACAUAUUUUACUCCACUGAAACCAAAACAUGAGAAACAAUGAGAAA
RNAcentral lists this unclassified non-coding RNA (238 nucleotides) under uncultured fungus. Its description in RNAcentral is "sequence contains ITS1, 5.8S rRNA gene". The record is from RNAcentral. Lineage: Eukaryota; Fungi.